This is a long non-coding RNA of Thalassophryne amazonica, 1873 nucleotides long. RefSeq lists it as uncharacterized. Lineage: Eukaryota; Metazoa; Chordata; Actinopteri; Batrachoidiformes; Batrachoididae. The record is from RefSeq and is a predicted model, not a curated record. The transcript is spliced from 2 exons.
AAAAAAAAAAAAAAAAAAGGUGAUUGAAUCCAAAUAAUUUUGGAAGCGUCGCCACAAACACCGGAAUAGCGGAGGUCUCGGACCAGCGCGUCUCUCUUGUUGACCAGAAUGACGAGCUCGUCCAGCAGCAGCUGCUCGCGCCUCUUCUGCGCCUCCGUCUUCUGCCAGUCUGCAAAGACACCAGACGAGCACAGAGCGUCACCACGCAGCCGCUGGACUCAGCGGGUUUGGUUUUAGUGCCACCUUCAGGAUUCACACUUGACGGGAGCAUGGAUCAGGACUAAACGUAGAGAGACACGGUUGGAGUAGAAAUGUUUGGGACGUGAACAAACGUCACAGGAAUGAGCGGAAGGACGCAAUCAGAACAUCCGGACACGGUUCGGAUGGUUUGAGCUUCAACUCGUUAAUGUGCACAAACAUCUGACUAAACGUUCCAUUUGUGCAAAGCGGUUUCUGAAUCCCGCUCAGGAGAAUCAGAUCCUCCAAACGCUACGACAAACCUGUGUUUUUAGUUAAUUAUGAGGUUAUGAUCUGAGACGAUCGACUGAAGAGCGCCGUAUACUCUGCUGUUGGACACCAACAACAAACUGAUUCAAAACACCUGGAAUAUGAUUGAAAAGUUUGUAUUUGUUUAAUAUGAUGCAGUUUCAAACAAGUUUGAACCAAAAGUAAAACAUCAGGUGGAUUCAUUCGGGCUAAAAUCGGUUAAUCUGGUUUUAAAUUAUUUGGGUGUGUCAGACAAGAAUAAACCUGUUCAAAGAUGCUUCAAACAAGUUUCAAAUCAGUUUAAAACAGAAAAUCUGUUUAUGAUCUGAUUUAUAAAAGAUUUAAUCCAGUUGGAAAAUAGAUUAGGCCAAAUCUGAGUGAAACUGGAGGUGUGAUUUUAAAACAAUCUACAGAUUAACUGAUGAAAAAAGUAAAUGAAGUUUUAACGUUAAUGUCGCAGAAGUCGUGCAAAAUACGAACAAAAAUGAACUUCAUUUGAAGCUUCGUAAUGUUGGCGUGUGUGUGUGUUUGUGAUGAUGAUGAUGUUUUGACACCUGAGUCGGUCUCAGACGGUGCAGGAAGCGACGCCACAGGGUCCAAACCCACACAGCCUCCCCUGAGGGAGUCGGGGGGUGGGUUUGAAUAUUUGCACCAUCGGAGCCACACCCACCCUACAUAUCUUCUCCCAAAACAAACCUGAACCAAUCACGCGAUGUGGCUAAGAGCGCUUCUGUAGACGUGAUACAGAAAAACAGUGCCUCGGUUCAGAUCAGAACAACUCAGGGAAGCUCGCUGAAACUCAUGUCGGGUUUGAACGUGUUCCAAAUUUCCUGGCGCUCAGUCAGACUAACAGAUGUCUUGUGUUCGGUGCAGGUUCGCUGCCAUCCGCCGCCCAGUUGUUACGCUGGACUGAGAGAGACUGAGCCCGAGCUGAGGGCCUGACACCAAGCGCUGCCUGGCGGUAACUCGUCUGAGGCCACCAGAGGCAGUGCAGCUGAGCCGUGGCUCCGCCCAUUACAUCUCCAAAUGGUGCAAACUAAGAGUGAGCGUGCCGAUGUGACCAGGAACUGAAUCAUUAUUUCAUGGACUGAUGACCUGUUGGCUCCGCCCCUUCACAAUAGCAGGAAGCACCAAAGAAGUCUGACGCAAAGAGAAAAAGUCGGUGCUUAAGUUUAGCAGUUAGCACGUUGCAAACAGGAUGAAAACAUCAGUUUGAUUGUGACGGCUUUUUACAGAAAUGCCGACACAUUCAUGGAUUUCUGCUGGAGAGACGAUGUGGCACUCGACAUUUUUCAGGAAAAUCAAACCGUUUCUAACAUCACAUGAACGAAUAAACAGCUCUGUGCAAAAGUUUGAAGCAUGAUUUACAUAGAAAAAAAAAAUUCAA